RNAcentral lists this unclassified non-coding RNA (22 nucleotides) under Mus musculus (house mouse). Its description in RNAcentral is "oocyte_clustered_small_RNA4818". The record is from RNAcentral. Lineage: Eukaryota; Metazoa; Chordata; Mammalia; Rodentia; Muridae.
UUGGCACAUCAGCUGAUUGAUU